RNAcentral lists this ribosomal RNA (2280 nucleotides) under Triticum aestivum (bread wheat). Its description in RNAcentral is "partial small subunit ribosomal RNA". Lineage: Eukaryota; Viridiplantae; Streptophyta; Magnoliopsida; Poales; Poaceae. The record is from RNAcentral.
AUGGUGGACUGGGUUAGCGAUAGCAAUGACAGUGAUAUGUUCGAUUGGGAAAGUGAUGGACUGGCUGAGCCCUUGUUGGCUUUGGCCUUGAAUAACCUUGAUGCUUCUGGCCCAUCCAUGCUGGAUGUUACUGGCUGGGCCAAGGGGAAAGCACCAUCAGCUUCUUUAGUUGAGGAAUUUGUCAGAAUGGGUUAUCCAAAGGAGAUUGUUUUGAUGGCCGUCGAGGCGUGCGGGUACAAUGAUGCAAAUGACAUACUCGAGCUACUUCUCACAUUUAAGGCACUAGUUAACUACCCAUCCAUGGAAAACAGCUUUACUUCUGGCUGCACCCCUCACGAUGUUGAGGAUGACGAGGACAACGAUCUUGAUUUUGCAAAAUGGGAUGAUGGCGGCGAUGAUGCUGGUGAGAGGGCAGCCAAUUCUAAUGAUUCUAGUGAUGAGGCUGAGUCCUUGUCGGCUUCCGCCUUGAGUAACCUUGAUGCUCUUGGCCCAUCCACGCUGGACGUUAAUGGUUGGGCCAAGGAGAAAGCACCAUCAUCUUCUUCACUCGAGGAAUAUGUAGGAAUGGGUUAUCCAAAGGAGAUGCUUUUGAAGGCUGUCAAGGCAAUUGGGUACAGUCAUGCAAAUGAAUUUCUCGACCUACUUCUUACAUUUGAGACGCUAGGUAAUUACCCUUCCAUGGGUAACUGCUUUACCCCUGGCUGCACCCCUCAUGAUGCUGCGGAUGACGAUGACAGUGAUAUUGAUUUUGAAAACUUGAAUGAUGAUGAUGAUGCUAAUGAUUCCACAAACUGGAAUGGUGAUGAUGAUGAUGAUAUUGAUUUCAAAAACUGGGAUGAUGAUGACGAUGGUGCUGGUGAGACGGAAGCCAAUUCUAAUGGUUCUGGUGACGAGGAUUUCGCACAAGCGAUGUUAGAAAAGGACGAGAAUAUCAAGGAUUUCGCACAAGCAAUGUUAGAAAAGGAUGCGGGAUUUCCUGAAGUUAGGGCCAAUAUGGCUUUUAGCAGAGGUGCGGACGAUGCUCUUUUUGCAUUACUUGAUUCCAAGAACUUUUCUACCCGUGAGGUUACGAACAAGAUCUUCAAUUCCUUAAAAAGGAGAAAGGAAGGAAGAUUCAUGGAAGAGAGCAAGAAAAAAAGGAUGCGAUGUGGAGGUGAAGCGCAAGGAAAUUGGCUCCCCUUGAAUGGUAGCGAUGAUGAACCAAUUGUUCUUCCAAAUCCAAUGGUUGGCUUUAGCCUGCCUAAUAGCAUGGUACAGCCAGUUAAAAGAAGUCUCCCCGAACAAGCUAUUGGUCCACCUUUCUUCUACUAUGAAAAUGUGGCCCAAACCCCCAAACGCACAUGGGAUACUAUUAAAGGAGAAUUGUAUGGUGUAGAGCCAGAGUUUCUGGAUUCCAAGUACAUAUGUGCAACUGCCAGGAAAAGAGGUUACAUCCAUAAUCUCCCGAUUGAGAAUAGGUCAUCUCUCUGCCUGGAGCCUCCAAAGACUAUAUUUGAGGCGUUUCCCCAUUAUAGGAAGUGGUGGCCUUCUUGGGACUCGAGAAAGCAGCUCAACUGCCUGACGACAUGUGUGCCAAGUUCAAGGCUGACAGAACUAAUUGAGUUUGUUCUUUCAGUAGCGGAGAAUCCACCAUCUCUUCGUGUUCAAAAAUAUGUUAUGGCUUUGUGCAGACAAUACAAUCUCGUGUGGGUUGGUAAAAACAGGGUUGCUCAUUUGGAGCCCCAUGAGAUGGAAUACCUACUGGGUUUUCCAAGGAAUCACACGAGGGGAGUCACCAGAACUCAGAGGUACAAAUCUCUUGGCAACUCAUUUCAAGUGGAUACAGUUACUUACCACUUGUCUGUGUUGAGGGACAUGUUUCCUGAUGGUAUAAACGUACUGUCCUUAUUCACCGGUAUUGGAGGAGGAGAGGUAGCGCUACAUAGGCUUGGAAUCCACAUGAGGAUAGUGGUUUCUGUAGAGAUAUCUAAAGUGAAUAAGAGGAUUUUGAGAAGUUGGUGGAAUCAGACUCAGACAGGCGAGUUGAUUCAGAUUCCAGACGUGAGGACUCUAACUGAUGAUAAAAUCAGGUCAUUUAUUGAAAGUAUUGGCGGCUUUGACUUGGUGAUUGGGGGCAGCCCAUGCAACAAUCUCGCUGGCAGAAAUCGGUUCCACCGUGACGGUCUAGAGGGCGAGCACUCUUCUCUAUUCUACCAGUACCCCAGAAUCUUGAACACCGUCAAGUCAGAGAUGGCGAGGAUUAAGCACUUAGCUAUAUCUCAUUGUUGCAAACCAGUCUAG